UACAGAGGUCUCAAGCGUUGUUCGGAUUCAUUGGGCGUAAAGGGUGCGUAGGUGGCGGGGUAAGUCAGGUGUGAAUCUCGGAGCUCAACUCCGAAACUGCACUUGAUACUGCCUUGCUCGAGUACUGGAGAGGAGAUUGGAAUUACGGUGUAGCAGUGAAUGCGUAGAUAUCGUAAGGAAGACCAGUGGCGAAGGCGAAUCUCUGGACAGUUACUGACACUGAGGCACGAAGGCCAG
RNAcentral lists this ribosomal RNA (237 nucleotides) under uncultured bacterium. Its description in RNAcentral is "partial 16S ribosomal RNA". It matches the Rfam family "Bacterial small subunit ribosomal RNA", at positions 524 to 763 of the family's 1533-position model. The record is from RNAcentral.